This is a long non-coding RNA of Callorhinus ursinus (northern fur seal), 471 nucleotides long. RefSeq lists it as uncharacterized. NCBI's taxonomy places the organism in Eukaryota, Metazoa, Chordata, Mammalia, Carnivora, Otariidae. The record is from RefSeq and is a predicted model, not a curated record.
AGCUUAGCUCCGGGACUAGCGGCUGCGCAGCUAGGAGCCGGCGGCCGGGAGCUCGAGCCAGGAAGUGGAGGAAGAGCGCAGAGGUGCCGCCUCAGAACCUCGCGGCCUGCACGCCCCGGUGAGUGGUCGCCCGCAGCAGCCCACGGUGCCAUCUACCUGGCCUGUGAGGUGCGUUCCCUACGGACUCGACUCAGGGCUGGACUUGAUGGAAAAAGAAGUUUAUAAACAAGCAACCCAAUUUCUCCUACUUAUUCGAGAAACUACCUAGAAGUCAAGCUACAAAAGCCAGACAAGUUUUGCCUGCAAUUUACAGCGGUGUCGUUGAAUCCUGGGAAAUGAACAAUUAGAAGAGGAUGCCCCGAAUAUACUGUCUUGUUCUACACUGAUAGCUGGUUAUGCAAUUGGCUGAUUAGCGUUUUUGCGGCAGUCCCCAGAUAAUUUUUGUGGUCAAAAUAAAAACUACCUUCAGUA